UGGGGAAUAUUGGGCAAUGGGGGAAACCCUGACCCAGCAACGCCGCGUGAAGGACGAAGGCCUUCGGGUUGUAAACUUCUUUGAUCAGGGACGAAACAAAUGACGGUACCUGAAGAACAAGCCACGGCUAACUACGUGCCAGCAGCCGCGGUAAUGCGUAGGUGGCAAGCGUUGUCCGGAUUUACUGGGCGUAAAGGGUGCGUAGGUGGAUGUUUAAGUCAGAUGUGAAACCCCUGGGCUCAACCCAGGACCUGCAUUUGAAACUGGACAUCUAGAGUGCGGGAGAGGUAAGUGGAAUUCCUAGUGUAGCGGUGAAAUGCGUAGAUAUUAGGAGGAACACCAGUGGCGAAGGCGGCUUACUGGACUGUAACUGACACUGAGGCUCGAAAGCGUGGGGAGC
RNAcentral lists this ribosomal RNA (400 nucleotides) under uncultured bacterium. RNAcentral's name for it is "bacterial SSU rRNA". It matches the Rfam family "Bacterial small subunit ribosomal RNA", at positions 355 to 769 of the family's 1533-position model. The record is from RNAcentral.